RNAcentral lists this unclassified non-coding RNA (201 nucleotides) under Hevea brasiliensis (rubber tree). Lineage: Eukaryota; Viridiplantae; Streptophyta; Magnoliopsida; Malpighiales; Euphorbiaceae. The record is from RNAcentral.
CACCGUCAAUGGCGACGCCGAAGCUCCACCAAAACCCAGAAUAGCUCUGAUCACCGGAAUAACCGGCCAAGACGGCUCCUACUUGACAGAAUUUCUCCUUAACAAGGGGUAUGAGGUUCAUGGUCUGAUCCGUCGGUCCUCUAACUUCAACACCCAGCGUAUCAAUCACAUCUACAUCGAUCCUCACAAUACCCACAAGGC